This 1059-nucleotide ribosomal RNA is filed under the name uncultured Cryobacterium sp. RNAcentral describes it as "bacterial SSU rRNA". It matches the Rfam family "Bacterial small subunit ribosomal RNA", at positions 337 to 1394 of the family's 1533-position model. Lineage: Bacteria; Bacillati; Actinomycetota; Actinomycetes; Micrococcales; Microbacteriaceae. The record is from RNAcentral.
UCCUACGGGAGGCAGCAGUGGGGAAUAUUGCACAAUGGGCGCAAGCCUGAUGCAGCAACGCCGCGUGAGGGACGAAGGCCUUCGGGUUGUAAACCUCUUUUAGUAGGGAAGAAGCGACUGGGUUUUCCUGGGAGUGACGGUACCUGCAGAAAAAGCACCGGCUAACUACGUGCCAGCAGCCGCGGUAAUACGUAGGGUGCAAGCGUUGUCCGGAAUUAUUGGGCGUAAAGAGCUCGUAGGCGGUUUGUCGCGUCUGCUGUGAAAACCCGAGGCUCAACCUCGGGCCUGCAGUGGGUACGGGCAGACUAGAGUGCGGUAGGGGAGAUUGGAAUUCCUGGUGUAGCGGUGGAAUGCGCAGAUAUCAGGAGGAACACCAAUGGCGAAGGCAGAUCUCUGGGCCGUAACUGACGCUGAGGAGCGAAAGCAUGGGGAGCGAACAGGAUUAGAUACCCUGGUAGUCCAUGCCGUAAACGUUGGGAACUAGAUGUGGGGACCAUUCCACGGUCUCCGUGUCGCAGCUAACGCAUUAAGUUCCCCGCCUGGGGAGUACGGCCGCAAGGCUAAAACUCAAAGGAAUUGACGGGGGCCCGCACAAGCGGCGGAGCAUGCGGAUUAAUUCGAUGCAACGCGAAGAACCUUACCAAGGCUUGACGUAUACCGGAAACGGCUGGAAACAGUCGCCCCGCAAGGUCGGUAUACAGGUGGUGCAUGGUUGUCGUCAGCUCGUGUCGUGAGAUGUUGGGUUAAGUCCCGCAACGAGCGGAACCCUCGUCCUAUGUUGCCAGCACGUAAUGGUGGGAACUCAUGGGAUACUGCCGGGGUCAACUCGGAGGAAGGUGGGGAUGACGUCAAAUCAUCAUGCCCCUUAUGUCUUGGGCUUCACGCAUGCUACAAUGGCCGGUACAAAGGGCUGCGAUACCGCAAGGUGGAGCGAAUCCCAAAAAGCCGGUCUCAGUUCGGAUUGAGGUCUGCAACUCGACCUCAUGAAGUCGGAGUCGCUAGUAAUCGCAGAUCAGCAACGCUGCGGUGAAUACGUUCCCGGGCCUUGUACACACCGCC